This 427-nucleotide long non-coding RNA is filed under the name Struthio camelus australis. RNAcentral describes it as "lncRNA (ENSSCUG00000002745.1)". The record is from RNAcentral. Lineage: Eukaryota; Metazoa; Chordata; Aves; Struthioniformes; Struthionidae.
UGGACAGCUUAUGAUUUUUAAAAAUUAAUAUUUAGCAUUAUAUUUUGUUUCCUAGAAGUCAUUAUAAACAAAGAAGAAAUAGUGAGAGUUUUGAUGAAAGAUGUAUCAGUCUUCUGAAAGCGCAGAGCAGUUGGAGAAGCAGAGUGCUCUUGAAGGAAAACUUAACAAGUUGCUCAAACACCUGCUUGCCAUGAGGCAAACACUGAGCUGAAUAUUUGCCCCAGGACAGGAGUCCUGGGAGAGAGCUUACCACAUCCUCCCAGCAGCGGAUAAAUCAUGUGACUAGAUGUCAUCAAUCUCUGGAGGAAUGCAAUAGUGAGUUGCUUAUUUUGACACUUCUUGUGCCAUCUGUGCCGUGGGUGAGUUACAAUGCAAGGCUCUGUAUUUGGAAUUUCAGCGAUUAACAAAAGUGAAUUUAGAAAAGCUU